Non-coding RNA from Podarcis lilfordi (Lilford's wall lizard), 77 nucleotides. NCBI's taxonomy places the organism in Eukaryota, Metazoa, Chordata, Lepidosauria, Squamata, Lacertidae. The record is from the annotation of a GenBank genome assembly.
GCUUUUUUAGGUUUUUAGGUUGGUAGAGCAUGAGACUCUUAGUCUCAGGGUUGUGAGUUUGAGCCCCACAUUGGGCA